RNAcentral lists this ribosomal RNA (305 nucleotides) under uncultured bacterium. Its description in RNAcentral is "bacterial SSU rRNA". It matches the Rfam family "Bacterial small subunit ribosomal RNA", at positions 335 to 657 of the family's 1533-position model. The record is from RNAcentral.
UCUCCUACGGGGGGCAGCAGUGGGGAAUAUUGCACAAUGGGGGAAACCCUGAUGCAGCGACGCCGCGUGAGUGAAGAAGUAUUUCGGUAUGUAAAGCUCUAUCAGCAGGGAAGAAAAUGACGGUACCUGACUAAGAAGCCCCGGCUAACUACGUGCCAGCAGCCGCGGUAAUACGUAGGGGGCAAGCGUUAUCCGGAUUUACUGGGUGUAAAGGGAGCGUAGACGGCGCGGCAAGUCUGAUGUGAAAGCCCGGGGCUCAACCCCGGGACUGCAUUGGAAACUACCGAACUAGAGUGUCGGAGAGG